GUUAAACUGGAUCUCACUGGAUCCUUCACUGCUAAAGGUACCUUACUUGGGAUUUACAAUCGACAGGGGUCCGAACGCAGCCCGGGAAAAGAAAGAAAGCAGGACCCCCAUCGCAGGAGUCGGAGGCACCCCCCGCGAGGCGGGGACUGAGAGAGAGCUCCUCUUCCCCCCCAGGAUCUUAGGACCCCCAUCGCGGGGGGGGAGGCACUCCCGCCAGGAUCCCCAUCGCAAGGGGGGAAGACACCGCCCACGAGUCGGGGACUGAGAGCCAGCCCCUCUUCCCCCGCUGGCUUAGGACCCCCACCGCGGAUUCUAAGAUCCUUAGCACCCACCUGGAGGACUGGGGGUUUUAGGUGUCCAAGAAGAAAGCUCAGACCUGCCGACCGCAGGACCUCCAUCGCAGCGGGGCAGGCACACACCGCGAGGCGGGAACUGAGAGCCAGCCCCUCCCACCUCUGGCUCUUAGGACUCACAUUGCAAGUGGGGGAGGCAUCCUCCGCGAGGCGCGGACUGAGAGCCAGCCCCUCUUCCCCCCCUGGCUCUAGGGACCCCCAUCGCAGGGGGUGGAGGCACCCCACGCGAUUCGGGGACUGAGAGCCAGCCCCUCUCCUUCCCCCUGCUCUUCGGACCCCCAUCGCAGGGCGGGGAGGCACCCACCGCGAGGCGGGGACUGAGAGCCAGCCCCUCUACCCCCCGUGGCUCUUAGGAGCCCCAUCGCAGGGUGGGAGGCCACCCGGCGAGGCGAGGAUUGAGAGCCAGCCCGUCUUCCCCCCUUGGCUCUUAGGAGCCCCAUCGCGGGUGGGGAAGGCACCCCCCGCGAGGCAGGGACUGAGAGCCAGCCUCUCUUCCUCCCGUGGCUCUUAGGACCCCCAUCGCAGUGGGGGGAGGCACCCCCCGCGAGGCGGGGACUGAGAGCAAGCCCAUUUCCCCCCCCCCCGGCUCUUAGGACACCCAACGCAGAGGGGGGAGGCACCCCCUGCGAGGCAGGAACUGAGAGCCAGACCCACUUCUCCCCGGCUCUUGGGAUCCCCAUCGCGGGGAGGGGAGGCACCCCACACGAGGCGGGGACUGAGAGCCAGCCCCUCUUCCCCCCCUGGCUAUUAGGACCCCCAUCGCAGGGGGGAGAGGCACCCCCCGAGAGGCAGG
Molecule: long non-coding RNA, 1146 nt
Filed under: Homo sapiens (human)
Lineage: Eukaryota; Metazoa; Chordata; Mammalia; Primates; Hominidae
Description: HSALNT0367512
Source: RNAcentral